RNAcentral lists this unclassified non-coding RNA (339 nucleotides) under soil metagenome. RNAcentral's name for it is "partial contains 5.8S ribosomal RNA, internal transcribed spacer 2, and large subunit ribosomal RNA". The stretch from base 1 to 120 matches the Rfam family "5.8S ribosomal RNA", at positions 35 to 154 of the family's 154-position model. The record is from RNAcentral.
GAUGAAGAACGUAGUGAAAUGCGAUACGUAGUGUGAAUUGCAGAAUUCAGUGAAUCAACGAAUCUUUGAACGCACAUUGCACCUCUCGGUAUUCCGGGAGGUAUGCCUGUUCGAGCGUCAUUUGUACCCUCAAGCUCUGCUUGGUGUUGGGUGUUUGUUCCGCCUCUGUGUGUGAACUCGCCUCAAAACAAUUGGCAGCCGGCGUACUUGUUUCGGAGCGCAGCACAUUUUGCGAUCCAGAUCAACGUACAGCGGCAUCCAAGAAGCCUUAUUUAACGCUCUUGACCUCGGAUCAGGUAGGGAUACCCGCUGAACUUAAGCAUAUCAAUAAGCGGAGGA